GGGUAUAUAGCUCAGUAGUACAGAGCAUGCUUAGCAUACGUGAGGUCCUGGGUUCAAUCCCCAGUACCUCCG
RNAcentral lists this transfer RNA (72 nucleotides) under Camelus bactrianus (Bactrian camel). It matches the Rfam family "tRNA". Rfam says of the family: Transfer RNA (tRNA) molecules are approximately 80 nucleotides in length. The record is from Rfam by way of RNAcentral. Lineage: Eukaryota; Metazoa; Chordata; Mammalia; Artiodactyla; Camelidae. RNAcentral also lists the same sequence under 1 other name.